RNAcentral lists this ribosomal RNA (423 nucleotides) under uncultured bacterium. Its description in RNAcentral is "bacterial SSU rRNA". It matches the Rfam family "Bacterial small subunit ribosomal RNA", at positions 355 to 775 of the family's 1533-position model. The record is from RNAcentral.
UGAGGAAUAUUGGUCAAUGGGCGGAAGCCUGAACCAGCCAUCCCGCGUGAAGGAAGAAGGCCUUAUGGGUUGUAAACUCCUUUUCUGUUUGAAGAAUAAGCUUGUCGAGACAAGUGAUGCCGGUAGGACAGGAAUAAGCAUCGGCUAACUCCGUGCCAGCAGCCGCGGUAAUACGGAGGAUGCAAGCGUUAUCCGGAUUUAUUGGGUUUAAAGGGUGCGCAGGUGGUUUAAUAAGUCAGUGGUGAAAGUCUGCCGCUUAACGGUAGGAUUGCCAUUGAUACUGUUGGACUUGAAUAUGGAUGAGGUAGGCGGAAUGUGUAGUGUAGCGGUGAAAUGCUUAGAUAUUACACAGAACACCGAUUGCGAAGGCAGCUUACUGAUACAUGAUUGACGCUGAGGCACGAAAGCGUGGGGAUCAAACAG